RNAcentral lists this ribosomal RNA (505 nucleotides) under uncultured bacterium. RNAcentral's name for it is "partial 16S ribosomal RNA". It matches the Rfam family "Bacterial small subunit ribosomal RNA", at positions 28 to 507 of the family's 1533-position model. The record is from RNAcentral.
GACGAACGCUGGCGGCGUGCCUAAUACAUGCAAGUAGAACGCACAGUUUAUACCGUAGCUUGCUACACCAUAGACUGUGAGUUGCGAACGGGUGAGUAACGCGUAGCUAACCUGCCUGGUAGCGUGGGGUAACUAUUGGAAACGAUAGCUAAUACCGCAUAAUAUUGAUUAUUGCAUGAUAAUUAAUUGAAAGGUGCAAUUGCACCACUACCAGAUGGACCUGCGUUGUAUUAGCUAGUAGGUGAGGGAACGGCUCACCUAAGCGACGAUACAUAGCCGACUUUGAAGGGUGGACGGCCACAACGGGACUUGGAAAAGGCUCAGAAUCCCUAGGGGAGCAGCAGUAGGGGAAUUUUGGCCAAGGGCGAAAGGCCUACCGAGCAACGACGGGGUAGUGAAGGAGGGUUUCGGAGCGUAAAGCUCUGUUGUAAGGGAAGGACGGGUGUGAGAGUGGAAAGUUCACGCUGUGACGGUACCUUACCAGAAAGGGACGGCUAACUACGUG